CAACCUACGGGAGGCAGCAGUGGGGAAUAUUGGACAAUGGGCGCAAGCCUGAUCCAGCCAUGCCGCGUGUGUGAAGAAGGCCUUAUGGUUGUAAAGCACUUUAAGCGAGGAGGAGGCUACUUUAGAUAAUACCUAGAGAUAGUGGACGUUACUCGCAGAAUAAGCACCGGCUAACUCUGUGCCAGCAGCCGCGGUAAUACAGAGGGUGCAAGCGUUAAUCGGAUUUACUGGGCGUAAAGCGCGCGUAGGCCGCUAAUUAAGUCAACUGUGAAAUCCCCGCGCUUAACUUGGGAAAUGCAUGAGAU
Molecule: ribosomal RNA, 305 nt
Filed under: uncultured bacterium
Lineage: Bacteria
Description: bacterial SSU rRNA
Rfam family: Bacterial small subunit ribosomal RNA
Source: RNAcentral